This 433-nucleotide ribosomal RNA is filed under the name uncultured bacterium. RNAcentral describes it as "partial 16S ribosomal RNA". It matches the Rfam family "Bacterial small subunit ribosomal RNA", at positions 29 to 507 of the family's 1533-position model. The record is from RNAcentral.
AACGAACGCUGGCGGCAUGCCUAACACAUGCAAGUCGAACGAGACCUCCGGGUCUUGUGGCGCACGGGUGCGUAACGCGUGGGAACCUGCCCUUAGGUUCGGAAUAACUCCCCGAAAGGGGUGCUAAUACCGGAUAAUGUCUUCGGACCAAAGAUUUAUUGCCUUUGGAUGGGCCCGCGUUGGAUUAGCUAGUUGGUAGGGUAAAAGCCUACCAAGGCGUCGAUCCAUAGCUGGUCUGAGAGGAUGAUCAGCCACACUGGGACUGAGACACGGCCCAGACUCCUACGGGAGGGAGCAGUGGGGAAUAUUGGACAAUGGGCGAAAGCCUGAUCCAGCAAUGCCGGGUGAGUGAUGAAGGCCUUAGGGUUGUAAAGCUCUUUUACCCGGGAUGAUAAUGACGGUACCGGGAGAAUAAGCACCGGCUAACUCCGUG